UCGACUUCAAGAACUAAUUGUUCACUUGCUGCCAUAUAUUUCCCACCCCUUGAUGUCAUUGUGACGAAAUAAUCAAUGCUCCCUUCACCUGUCAGUGGUUUUAAUGCUAUACAUAUCAAGCUUCAGUUAAUGUGCAUAUAAAGUUAGCAUUUUUCAACAAAAAAAUGCAAAGAGAACACAUGUAUUUCAAAACCAUAACAUGUAAAAGGUGAUGGAUUGGCAUCCUGUCCAGGGUGUAUCCUGCCUGGUGCCCGAUGCUUCCUGGGAUAGGCUCCAGGUUCCCCCUUGACCCUGAAGAGGAUAAGCAGUAUAGAAGAUGGAUGGAACAUGUAGAAGUGACUAUAAGCUCCACAUUUGUGUUCAGCUACAUCCCAUCAUAUACCUGUAACCCCACACUGAUUUUUUUACACAGGUUGAUUCAGGUUAAAGCUGUAGCUGUGUUUGUUUUGUUCUGUUCACUGUCACUGCAGAUGAUGAUGCUGGACCCAGCGAUGUGAUUUACACUGAGCUUGAAAUCAAGCCACAGAAAAAUCAAAGAAAAAUCAAGUGAAGGUCAGUGUAGAGUAUGGAACUGUUUACUCACAGCUGAAGCAGAGCACAUAGGUGCUGGAGGAGUGAAUACACAACUGAACAGACGAGAGAGAGAGAAGUUCAUCAUGUGUGCAGUGACAGUAAAAUUGGAGUGAGAUUGUUUUGUACAGGUUCUUUGCACUUAUUUGGUUUAAAAUGUGUGUGGGGGGGAUUAAGAACGUGUGUAUGGACAGCAUUAAGAAGUAUUUACAGGGUGUAUUUUAUUGAUUGCUUGUGCCACUAUUAGGACUGGUUGUAAAGCAAAAGGAUUUAGUAGUAAUAGUAAGAGUAAUAAGUCAAUGUGACUGAACUUUUAUUCUUGAAAAUGUUUUUUCACUCAUGUGAGGGGCUUCAUCAUGUCAUCUGUGUGCAGUUCACACCUACAGAACUGAAAGUCGUUACGAUCACAUACAGAGAUACACUGAUGUAUUUUCCACCACACGGUACAACCACAAUCUGCAGCCUACAGUUAAAAAGAUCAUGUAUCAUUUCAUCAUAACAAAUAUCAUUUCAUGGUUUCAUUGUAUUAAGCAACACUUUAAAUAAAUGCAUGCAGAUAUCACAAACCACAACAAGAUGAAUAUCUAUCACAAGCCCUAAACUGUGUGCACCAAAUGUGUCUGUAAUGUCACACGUCUUCCAGAAACUAUUAUUUUAAUGUAUUUUUAUUGCACUGUAACAAGCCUGUUAGAAAAGUCAUGUGCAUAGAGUGUACAGUUUUAUCUCCAGCAAACGUUUGUACUCAUCUCCAUCCAUGUGGACAUAAGCAGUAUCAGUAUAUGUAAAGUUAGAGGUGCUCAGUACAGUGCAAUCUCUCAAUUUAUUUACUUGGUAUUUGAAUGUAUUUUUUUUUCUUUGGUUUAAAUUUGUAAGCAUUUCAGCAAUUACAGUUGUACUUUUAGGUCACACAAAUGAUACCCUGCAUUAAAAUAUACAUGUAUACAAAGCAGCUGUAUUUUAUUAAGGGGCGUUAUUCACUGAUUAACCUCCAGUUGCUUUACAAGUGAUGACGUCCUAUGAAACAAUGCAUAAAUUCAUUCUCAUGCAUCAUUAUUGUUGUACUCUACAAGAAAAAUACCUGCAUUGCAGUAGAAAUCAUCAGCUCUGUUUCUCAUUAAUAUUAUGUUUAAAAAGUGGCUAAAGCUAAACAGAGCGCAUGAAAAAUUUCAGAUGAGGAAAUAUUUUAUCAAUCCUGCAUCACACAGACUGUGAAUAAAGUCUACUGUAAGAUAUUGCAAAUUUAAAGACAAAACAAUCAAACAACACCAAAAAAAAAAAAACACGUGUUUUCUGUAUAAAGGGGUCAUUU
Molecule: long non-coding RNA, 1879 nt
Organism: Ictalurus furcatus (blue catfish)
Lineage: Eukaryota; Metazoa; Chordata; Actinopteri; Siluriformes; Ictaluridae
Exons: 3
Source: RefSeq, a predicted model, not a curated record